GCUGGACAUGUAGAUCACAAAACCUUAACAUACACAUUGCGCUAGGCACACAUCAUUAUAAUUACAGGAUCUGAACAUCAAUGACCUUGCGCUCCACAUGGGUCUUAGGAAUUGAAAUGUAAAGAACACCAUUCUUCAGCUCUGCAUCUCAAUUUAUUUAUACACUUACAAAGCUGGACAUGUAGAUCACAAAACCUCAACAUACACAUUUCGCUAGGCACUCAUUAUUAUAAUUACAGAAUCUGAACAUCAAUGACCUUGCGCUCCACCUUUGUCUUAGGAAUUGAAAUGUAAAGAACACCAUUCUUGAGCUCUGCCUUGACCUUAUCUUUCUCACAGUUAUCAGGAAGCUGGAGACGAGUAUCGUAAGAGCUAAAACUUGCACCUCCAGCUUCUUCUGCCCUGUGCUCUCCUUUAAUGACAAGGACUUCAUCUUCCACCGACACUUUGACAUCCUCCUUAGAGAGUCCAGGCAUGUCAAAUCUCAUUUUGAUCUCAUUUUCCUCCUCUUUGAUGUCCCACGGUGUUCUCACCUGGCCUCCCCCGCCAGCCCGGCUCCUCCCCGGAAAAGCCAUCGUAUCCUCUAAUAGACGGUCCAUUGUGUCCAGCAUCUGCCGCAUUGUCCUCGUUGGAAACGAGGGAUCCAUCAAACCUGCAACCCAAAGUCGUACAUUUUUUAGAAUUGGGUAAUUAAAUCGGUGUUCAAUUUACUUCCAAACCUUAUGAUUUAACAUAAUCAGUAUUUUAUUAACUAUAAAAUCAUGCAAAGGCAACUGCUCAAUACCCCUAGCAGCCGCAACGCAAACUAACAUAGUCUAACAGAGCAUGUAAAACUUGUAUUAUUUAAAUCACUGAAUCCUACAGGCAACGGACGAAGGCAAAGACAAAUUUAAUUCGCUGAACUUACCGAAAGGUGAAAUAUCGAGAGCCGUUCUUCGAGGCCUCCUCUCCACUUGGGUUCCUUGGUUACCGGAAUUAACAUGGACGUCAACCGAAGUAUCCUUGUUCUCCCCACCAGCCUGAGCUCUCACGGCUUGUAGCCGAUAGGCGCCUUUCCUUGACGUUGCCGGUAAGGUUACCGAGCAUGGCGCCACAUUUCUCCUAGCUAUUGAG
RNAcentral lists this long non-coding RNA (1113 nucleotides) under Citrus sinensis (sweet orange). Its description in RNAcentral is "long non-coding RNA (CSIN_LNC004672)". The record is from RNAcentral. Lineage: Eukaryota; Viridiplantae; Streptophyta; Magnoliopsida; Sapindales; Rutaceae.